UCUUUACUGCAUAGUUUUGUGUGCCAAAUGUGAGAUUACUAUCACUGAGCUUGAAUCGAAAUAUUAAUUUUUUUCCACAUAAUUGUUGAAUAAUCUUUGGGGCUUCUUCUGUUUUCCCAUCUAGUGAGUCCAGCAAGUCAGAUGCAGAUGUAUUAAGCAAUCUUGCAGCCUCCUCGUCAAAUAAAGUGCAACUUGUAGUAGAUGUAUGAUCACUAAUUUGGAGUCGAAUACGAUACCUAACAUACCAUUCAUGUUAGUGGAGAGUAAAUAUAAUAUAACACUUACUGCUUAUAUUUAAGUAAUAUAAUAUGCUUACCGAGGUGUGACAUUUUUUGGAUAUAUACCACAACUCUUGCAAUAAUACUUGUCGGUUUCCUUGAUAACCAUUUUGGGACAGUUAUCACAUGACAUGUACCACCAUUGAAUAUUUUCUUGCAACCGAUCUACUGUAGCUAUUGUCGUGAACACAAAAUCCUGAAAACAAUCAACGUUAGCAUUGGGGUAGGGGUGGGGGAUUAAGUGACAUAUAUAAAUUCAAAAUGGUUCCAUUGUUACUAAUAUUGAACAAAUUGUCAAUGCAGGUCUUAACUCGUUCUCGCAAAAAUUGAUGAUAGCCUUUAUUGAAACUCCAAUGAAUUACCUGGUCUUGCCGGUUUUCGUGCCUCAUUUUAGUAAGUUCUUGCAAUGUUCUCCGCUUGUAAAACAUUUGUUCUUCUAGAGUUCCCUGAUUACUUCUAUCUAUACUCAUCAUUUUUGGUAAGGUUACUUGUGUUGAGUCCCUGCACAUAUAUAAAACAAAUAAUAAUAUGUACAAUCGCGAAUCAACAUGAGUCACUAUUCAUGAGUGGGAAUUUUUAAUUGGUAGUGUUUCAUACCUUUCAAGAAGUUCUUGUGCUUCUGGUAUAUCCAGAUCUAUAUAUAUUCUGGUGGCACUGGUUGACUUUAGGCACAAACCUAUUUAAUUAACCAAUUAGAAUUUGUAAAUGAUAAGAGUAGCAUCUAAGAUUUAUGGACUUACCAUUGAAUCUCUGCACCAUCGUUGAUGUAAUAAUAAUGACAGUUUGGCUGCCAAUUACAUCCUCGGUCAAAAAAUAAGCAAACUUUCCCCAUAACGUGAUUCUGAUUUUAUCACCCCUAAAGAAUUUAAUUCGAGAAGUUAUUGUUAAUCACAUGGGGUAGGCGUAGUUAAAUUUCAGACAUGCAUAUGCAUAUGCACUUACUCCGGCAUUAGUAUUUCAAUCUCGCGGAUAUAUGAAGGUUGUGGGCUCUUUUUUGUUAUUCUUGUCUCCACGGGCUUCAUUUUUGUUAGAAGUCCAAUGACAUCUGUUUAUUUGGAAAUUAUAGUAAUAUAACAAUUAGAAAUAUCAAUUAUUUGGAAGCCAUAAUUACAACUAUAAACAUACCUGAGCAUUGUGUAUCUUUUCCUGCCCUUUCUUCAAGUGUCUCCAUGGUAGCAAACUCGGAGCAAUAGUCCGGAAAAACUUCUUGAGAUCCUUUUAUCUCCUUUACCUUUGUAUUGUAUGAAAAAAAUAUUUUAAUUUCAUUGCUCACUGGCCUAUAUUUUGUGGAUUCCACAACCUUAAAAUUACUGAAUCCAUAAAUAGACUUCUCAUUGAUCUUUGAUUUAAAAGUGUCUAUUAGAUUCUUCCAUAUAGUAGCAUGAAUUGUUUCACCCUAUAAAAACAAACAAUUAUGGUUAGUAACUGUUGCUUAAUCUAAAAAAAAAUCCAAUUAACUAUAUUGAAAAACAGACCUGCUCAUCCAUGAGUAUCAUAUCUAGGCUAAUAAGCUCAUCGGUAGUAGGAUUAACUGAAUCCCAAAUCCUCAUUACUUUCACUUGAAUGUUCCAGUUCUGUCCCCUUGUAGUUAAGUCACUCAACUUUUUGUAUGCCAUAGUUUUAUGUCUUCAAAAUUAAUCGGAAACAAUUAGCCAAUGGAUAUAGUAUUUAUGAAGAUCCUAUCCAUAAAAAAGGUUGUUAAAUAACAAUUACCAAGUCUGAUGAUUCAACCCAGAAGUGCUUUGUCGUCACUUCUUCCGACGUCGAUAGGAGCAGAUGGGCGUGGCUUUGUCGGAUGUCGGCGGGCUUUGGUAUGACUUCGCUGGACGUCAAGCGAAGCAGUUGGAGAUGACUUCUCGUCGAAGCAGUUGGAGAUGACUUCUCGUCGUGCUACCUAUGUCGACUUCAAGCUGUGUGGACGGCGAGGCGUGUGUUUCGUCUGGUGUGUUUUAAGACGUGGUGGUCGUCGAUUUCUAAUUGUUUGGUGCGUGCUUCUAUGGCCGACUGCACUUGUUUAUAUGGGUUGAGGUGGCUGGGUUGAGGUGGCCGAGACCGUGUGGGAAUCUUGUAGGUAUUCGUUCCUCUCUUGGAACUUUUAUCACGUGAGGUCUGGUGGGUGUCCUUAUUUGUUUAGGUUUCUUAUUUAAUUAGGUUUGACUACUAUUUUUGCUUAUCCUUGACCCAUUGAUGGAAAUAUUCUAUUUUUGUUUUUGUGUCUUACCAUGAGGAUAAUUCAGGCUAGUUGAUGUCACAAUGGACACACUAUAUUUGUAUACGUGACGUGUUAUACUACUUGUGUGGGUCGGUCUGUGCUAUGCACUACACGUGAUGGAACAUGGAUGUGUUGGUCCGUUCUAUGCACGUACACGUGACAACACAACUUAUCUUGUUUACGCGUUUAUGUUAAAUCAAGGCCAUUAAUAUUACAAUCUAAUGGAUUAGAUAAUUUUAACUUAUGU
This 2737-nucleotide long non-coding RNA is filed under the name Triticum aestivum (bread wheat). RNAcentral's name for it is "long non-coding RNA (TAES_LNC002726)". Lineage: Eukaryota; Viridiplantae; Streptophyta; Magnoliopsida; Poales; Poaceae. The record is from RNAcentral.